RNAcentral lists this transfer RNA (74 nucleotides) under Candidatus Woesearchaeota archaeon. RNAcentral's name for it is "tRNA-Arg". It matches the Rfam family "tRNA". Rfam says of the family: Transfer RNA (tRNA) molecules are approximately 80 nucleotides in length. Their secondary structure includes four short double-helical elements and three loops (D, anti-codon, and T loops). The record is from RNAcentral. Lineage: Archaea; Nanobdellati; Candidatus Woesearchaeota.
GGGCCUGUAGUCUAGCCUGGAUAGGACGGUGGGCUUCGGACCCGCAAACCCCGGUUCGAAUCCGGGCGGGCUCG